RNAcentral lists this long non-coding RNA (469 nucleotides) under Pongo abelii (Sumatran orangutan). RNAcentral describes it as "lincRNA". The record is from RNAcentral. Lineage: Eukaryota; Metazoa; Chordata; Mammalia; Primates; Hominidae.
GAGCUCUCGAGACUCAACAUUAAGGAAGCAAACAACCAGAAUAAAAAAUGAGCUCUAGAUACUAACAGCCACCUCAUCAAAGACAAUACACAGAUAACAAAUUACCAUAUGAAAAUGCGGUCUCUAUCAUAUGUCAUCAUGGAAAUUCAAAUUAAAGCCACAAUGAGAUACCACUACACACGUAUGAGAAUAGCCAAAAUCCAGAAUACAGACAACACCAUACGCUAAUGAGGAUUAGGAGCAACAGGAACUCGUAUUCAUGCUGGUGGGAAUGCAGCAAGGAACAUUUCCCUCUCUGGAUACAUGUGUUUCAGAUCACAAAGCCACAGAUGAGAGGAAUCUGUCUUUCUAAAUCACUUUUUGAAGAACACCUACUCAAGAGAGUCACCUGACCCCAUUGGAAUAUAAGAUGUGUGGGAAAUCUACCUUAUUGCAUUAAAUUACUCAGAUUUUUGUGUGGUUGGUUAAA